Pollicipes pollicipes is the source of this 144-nucleotide long non-coding RNA. RefSeq lists it as uncharacterized. The transcript has 3 exons. NCBI's taxonomy places the organism in Eukaryota, Metazoa, Arthropoda, Thecostraca, Pollicipedomorpha, Pollicipedidae. The record is from RefSeq and is a predicted model, not a curated record.
CGCACGAGCCGACCAGCCCGCAGCGGCUGCAGCGGCUGGAGCGGGAGAACGCUUGCCUGCGGAGAGACAUCGACCGCCUGCAACAGCAGCUGCAGUAUGAGAGAAGAAGGUCGAGCAGCCUGCAGCAGCAGCAGCAGCUACGGC